Pelobates cultripes (western spadefoot toad) is the source of this 272-nucleotide non-coding RNA. The record is from the annotation of a GenBank genome assembly. NCBI's taxonomy places the organism in Eukaryota, Metazoa, Chordata, Amphibia, Anura, Pelobatidae.
GUUUGAUUAUCAGCCAACUCUUCAAUUAGCUCUAAAGAACCAGUGAUCUUUUCACCAGUAUCAUUUAUUUAAGCUGAAAGAAAAGGCUUUUUUAAGCUUGCUGAAGAUAAAUGUAAGAGUUUUAUCAUCACAAUUCCACAAUUUCAAAUCAAUUUGAUCCUUUCAAGAAUCGUUCUUGAUGCAUGCACCCUUUCAGCCUCUACAUGAUCAAUUGUCUACAGAAAAGUCGAUGCAAAGCCUUAGAAAUAGUUUAGUGGUUCCUUUUUUUGGCG